AGACAGGGUAGAGAUGGAAGGAAGACAGGGGAGAGAUGGUAAUGAGACAGGGUAGAGAUGGAAGGGAGACAGGGGAGAGAUGGAAGGGAGACAGGGGAGAGAUGGUAGGGAGACAGGGGAGAGAUGGAAGGGAGACAGGGGAGAGAUGGUAAUGAGACAGGGGAGAGAUGGUAAUGAGACAGGGGAGAGAUGGUAAUGAGACAGGGAGAGAUGGUAAUGAGACAGGGGAGAGAUGGAAGGGUAGAGAUGGAAGGGUAGAGAUGGAAGGGUAGAGAUGGAAGGGUAGAGAUGGAAGGGAGACAGGGGAGAGAUGGUAGGGAGACAGGGUAGAGAUGGAAGGGAGACAGGGGAGAGAUGGUAGUGAGACAGGGGAGAUAUGGAAGGGAGACAGGGGAGAGAUGGGAGGGAGACAGGGGAGAGAUGGAAGGGAGACAGGGGAGAGAUGGAAGGGAGACAAGGUAGAGAUGGUAGGGAGACAGGGGAGAGAUGGAAGGGAGACAGGGGAGAGAUGGAAGGAGACAUGGGAGAUAUGGAAGGGAGACAGGGUAGAGAUGGAAGGGAGACAGGGGAGAGAUGGAAGGGGAGAGAUGGAAGGGGAGAGAUGGUAGGGAGACAGGGGAGAUAUGGAAGGGAGACAGGGGAGAGAUGGAAGGGAGACAGGGGAGAGAUGGUAAUGAGACAGGGGAGAGAUGGUAAUGAGACAGGGGAGAGAUGGAAGGGAGACAGGGGAGAGAUGGUAAUGAGACAGGGGAGAGAUGGAAGGGAGACAGGGGAGAUAUGGAAGGGAGACAGGGAGAGAUGGAAGGGGAGAGAUGGAAGGGGAGAGAUGGUAGGGAUACAGGGGAGAGAUGGUAGGGAUACAGGGAGAGAUGGAAGGGGAGAGACGGAAGGGGAGAGAUGGUAGGGAUACAGGGGAGAGAUGGAAGGGUAGAGAUGGAAGGGGAGAGAUGGUAGGGAGACAGGGGAGAGAUGGAAGUGGAGAGAUGGUAGGGAGACAGGGGAGAUAUGGAAGGGAGACAGGGGAGAGAUGGAAGGGUAGAGAUGGAAGGGUAGAGAUGGAAGGAGACAGGGGAGAGAUGGAAGGGAGACAGGGGAGAGAUGGAAGGGUAGAGAUGGAAGGAGUCAGGGUAGAGAUGGUAGGGAGACAGGGGAGAGAUGCUAGGGAGACAGGGUAGAGAUGGAAGG
Oncorhynchus tshawytscha (Chinook salmon) is the source of this 1185-nucleotide long non-coding RNA. Lineage: Eukaryota; Metazoa; Chordata; Actinopteri; Salmoniformes; Salmonidae. The record is from Ensembl.